This is a long non-coding RNA of Vombatus ursinus (common wombat), 939 nucleotides long. RefSeq lists it as uncharacterized. Lineage: Eukaryota; Metazoa; Chordata; Mammalia; Diprotodontia; Vombatidae. The transcript is spliced from 3 exons. The record is from RefSeq and is a predicted model, not a curated record.
UAGUAGGUCAGUUUGGUAGAAUGGAAAAUGUGUGAAGGUGAAUAAAGUAAAAUAGGUUAGAGUUAGACUGUGAAGGGCUGUAAAUGCCAGGCUGAAGGAAUUUGUGGUUUGUCCCAGAGGCAAUAGAGAGCCAUUGAUGAUCCUUGAGCAGGCAAGCCGCCCUCAUAGCUUUGGAAGAUUAAUUUUGGUCAUGUGGUAGAUGGCUUGGAGAAGGGGGAGACAAGAAGUAGGAAACAAUAAUUCAGAGGAAAGAUGCUGAGGGACUUGAGGUAAAUAUGUAGCAAUUUGGUUUUUCCCUCCCUGACUUGUCCUCCCUGUUGGAAGAACAUUGUGCUUUCUUCAGCAACAAUCUCAGUUCAUCAUCAGUAAAAUUGUUACUCUAUUGUUGACUGUUAUCUCACAUAUGUUCUCACCCAGCCUUGAAAAGCCAUGGAAUGGAGAAGUCACCAGUUGGGCCUCCCAGCAUCAAGAUGUAUAAAAAUACUUUGUAUUCCUUAGAGGAAAUGUAUGAGAUAAAUGAAUUACUCAUUGUUACAUUUGUCCCAUCAGGGAGUUCUGGCUUUCUGGGAGUCUGGAGACAGUCAGUGUGAAAGGGUAGCUGCAGCCAAGUCCCUCAUGUAUUUAUAAGCCAACAGUGAGCUAUAAAUCAAUGUUACAGGCUCAGAGAAGGUGACUAGAAGACUCCAAGUUUACGUGGUUUGCUUAGAGUGUGUUAGCUGAUCAGAAGAAGCGAGAGAGCCCUUGCAACAUCAGUACUUCAUCCUAGGUCUACUUUUUGCACUGCAGACUCAUUGUCCUUCCCAGAGGAUAACAGAAGCCCUUUUCAUUUGAGGAUUUCACACAGCUACUUUAUAAAAAGACAUAACCUCUGAGGAUCGGGACCAAUUACCUCUCCCCUUUGUAUUCCUGUUCCUAAACCCAGUGCCUCUGUUCCACAUA